This 461-nucleotide ribosomal RNA is filed under the name uncultured beta proteobacterium. RNAcentral describes it as "bacterial SSU rRNA". It matches the Rfam family "Bacterial small subunit ribosomal RNA", at positions 200 to 642 of the family's 1533-position model. Lineage: Bacteria; Pseudomonadati; Pseudomonadota; Betaproteobacteria. The record is from RNAcentral.
AGGAAAGCAGGGGAUCGCAAGACCUUGCGCUUUUGGAGCGGCCGAUGUCUGAUUAGCUAGUUGGUGAGGUAAAGGCUUACCAAGGCGUCGAUCAGUAGCUGGUCUGAGAGGACGACCAGCCACACUGGGACUGAGACACGGCCCAGACUCCUACGGGAGGCAGCAGUGGGGAAUUUUGGACAAUGGGGGAAACCCUGAUCCAGCCAUGCCGCGUGAGUGAAGAAGGCCUUCGGGUUGUAAAGCUCUUUCAGCCGGAACGAAACGGUCACAGCUAAUACCUGUGACUACUGACGGUACCGGAAGAAGAAGCACCGGCUAACUACGUGCCAGCAGCCGCGGUAAUACGUAGGGUGCGAGCGUUAAUCGGAAUUACUGGGCGCAAAGCGUGCGCAGGCGGUUUUGUAAGUCAGAUGUGAAAUCCCCGGGCUUAACCUGGGAACUGCGUUUGAAACUACAAGGCU